GAGCGAUGGAAGCUUGCUUCUAUCAAUCUUAGUGGCGAACGGGUGAGUAACGCGUAAUCAACCUCCCCUUCAGAGGGGGACAACAGUUGGAAACGACUGCUAAUACCGCAUACGAUCUAAUCUCGGCAUCGAGGAUAGAUGAAAGGUGGCCUCUACAUGUAAGCUAUCACUGAAGGAGGGGAUUGCGUCUGAUUAGCUAGUUGGAGGGGUAACGGCCCACCAAGGCGAUGAUCAGUAGCCGGUCUGAGAGGAUGAACGGCCACAUUGGGACUGAGACACGGCCCAGACUCCUACGGGAGGCAGCAGUGGGGAAUCUUCCGCAAUGGACGAAAGUCUGACGGAGCAACGCCGCGUGAGUGAUGACGGCCUUUCGGGUUGUAAAGCUCUGUUAAAUCGGGACGAAAAGGCCCUGCUUGCGAA
This 420-nucleotide ribosomal RNA is filed under the name Veillonella parvula. RNAcentral's name for it is "bacterial SSU rRNA". It matches the Rfam family "Bacterial small subunit ribosomal RNA", at positions 68 to 464 of the family's 1533-position model. The record is from RNAcentral. Lineage: Bacteria; Bacillati; Bacillota; Negativicutes; Veillonellales; Veillonellaceae.